CGGAAGAGAGGCGACCGUCAAGCCCAUCCGGCAUACAGUAGUUUAUAGCAUGUAAUCGACAGCUUAACUCAUAUUCAUAUCGAAACAUCGAUGCCAAAUGUUUUGAGUUUCUUUCGUCAUUGGAGUUGUACGGCUUCGCCAGUUGGGGCCGGUCCCUGCCCAGGGAAAUCAGCAGUGAAGGAACGUAUACAUAUGCAGCUUAGAAGAACGGGUGUCCGCAAGAUGCCUGAUGAAAUUUAAUGUUCAAAAAGUUGUUACCUGUUGUUAUCGAACCGUAAACAGUAGUAUUGUGUUAUAACUCUGCUUUGUUUAGAUGGAACAGCUGUAGAUCGGAACUAGAUGAAUGCUUUGCGUGCAAUCAGACUGACACGCGUUUAAUAGUCUCGAACGCUCGCGACAGUAUAUGCAACCAUCUCCGGUGCUGGGACCUUCACAAGCGCCUCGGUUAUUUGAGGAUACGUCGACAUAUGGGAAUCAGCCGCCCGUGUCAACGCCCUACGCCUCCGCUCCACAUGCUGCGCCUUCCGGCCUUCCUUCGGCAUCCAGCCAACAGGAAGGCGGCUGGCAAAGUUACGACAUGGAAAUGAUGGCUGAGUAUACUCCGACACAACAAUCUCUACCGCCGUAUGACCCGUUUGGCCAACCACAACAGCAUGGAUUUAACAACAAUCCAGCCAUGCCCACAGGAAUAAACAUGCAGAAUCCUUAUGGUGGACCAAACAUAGCUGGAGGGCCCCUUUCAACUGGAGCUCAGAUGGGACAGUCAGGGCCUCAGCAACAGCAGCAGAUCUUCAAUCCUCAACAAUUCCUUAAUGACCCGAUGACUUCGAUGGCCUUCCAUUACGGCAACGCAAUAGCUGGUCAUAGUCGAGAAAUUGUAAACGAAAAAAUUGAAAAAUAUGUGUCUAUUAGCAAACUCAAGUACUAUUUUGCUGUUGAUACGUCUUACGUUUCACAAAAGCUUUUCCUUCUCCUCUUCCCAUUCAUUCAUAAGGACUGGGCACCGAAAUACAAUCAGGAUGUACCUGUGCCUCCUCGGUAUGAUGUCAACGCUCCGGACCUUUAUAUCCCUACGAUGGCUUUUGUAUCGUACAUUCUGCUAUCAGCCUACAUGAUGGGCUUGGAGGAUAGAUUCUCUCCGGAAGUGCUAGGUGUUCAGGCAAGCUCUAGCAUAGCUGCAAUGACGGUAGAAACCGUAAUCAUAAUGGCUGCCCUGUACGUGAUGAAUAUCAACACCUAUCUGAAGUUCUACGAUUUGAUUGCAUUCUGUGGAUACAAAUUCGUAGCUAUGUUGGUCGUACUUCUUACGUCGCUGCUUGCAGGUAUGACAGGGUACUUGCUAGCCGUAGCAUAUUGUUCGGCUACCCUCGGAUUUUUCCUCUUGAGAACCCUACGCAUCGCCUUUCUGUCAAACCCUGGCACGGGGCAUUUUGGCGAGGGGUCCCGUCGUUCACUGUACGUCCUUCUUGCCGUGUGUCUGUUCCAGCCAUUUGUCAUCUGGUACAUGACUCAUUCACUACUGCUGGCGACAGCUAAGGGUUCAGCUAGCCGUGCGACUGCGGGUAGCUAAUAAUAGUAAUAAUAAUAAUAAUGGGCGAAGCCGUCGUGCGAGAGCAAUGCGCAAUAAAUAGAAUUGCUCCCACAAAUGUUAAGAGAAAAAUAGAGUGGCGACUGAUCGGAAGGAGCUGUACGGAGUUCAAUAGAGGCGGCAAAACGCACGUCUACAGUAAUGGCGAAGAUGCUGGACGAAGACGUUAUCUGUACUCAAAGUAUGGGUGCGACGAAAUAGGGAAAAGAACCCGACCGAACAGUACGUACGACGGUGGGAAGGUAGCAAAAAAAAAGGUAGAAAAUGAAAGUUUUAUGUGCCACCUACCCAUCGAUGAAUUUCAAAGACGACGAUCGAUGGUUGAGUCGCCGCGCCAUUGGGAAUAGGAAAAUGUUAUUGAGAACAGCAAACCAAUAAGUAAACAAGUGCAGCGUAUGAUAUGUAUAUUUAUAUUUGAAAUAAAUAAGUACAAUUAUAAUGUGAUUUUUUAAUAGAA
Varroa destructor (honeybee mite) is the source of this 2045-nucleotide RNA transcript. It is a transcript of the gene named Yip1d-interacting factor 1, with no coding region annotated. The record is from RefSeq and is a predicted model, not a curated record. Lineage: Eukaryota; Metazoa; Arthropoda; Arachnida; Mesostigmata; Varroidae.